UCCGGGUGCUCCCUCCA
RNAcentral lists this non-coding RNA (17 nucleotides) under Mus musculus (house mouse). The record is from RNAcentral. Lineage: Eukaryota; Metazoa; Chordata; Mammalia; Rodentia; Muridae.